GUAAUAAAUUAUUUGAAAGCAGCAUAAUUAAUUGAAUCAAUUAUUUAACAGCUUAUCCAAUAAAUUUACAACUACGUUUACAAUUGUUGAUAUGUACUGACAUAUUCUUUUCACAAUUACUCUGUCAUUACUGUACCAUUCUUUCUAAGUAACAAAUGACGCUCCGUCCAUAAAAAGAAGUAAGUGUCACUUCCAUGAAGAUGAAGUAGAGAUAUUAAGCGACAUUGCAGUUAAGCGACAUUCCAUAUUCGUGGUGAAUUUAAAAUACGUCGAAGUCGUCGGCGGAAAAAUUCACCAUCCUCCUUCGGAAAACUUUAUGCGGGGAGAUGAAGCGCAAAGUCGCACACGCCCACUCGCAUCGCCGGAAAAUGUAUCGUAAAUUGUCGUUGCAAAGUGCUUAAUGCGACUGUUGCGCGAAGAGGCGUGAGGCGGAGGAGAAGAGGACAAGGAUGAGGACAAGGUGGAAAGGAGAUUCUCGGAAGGGAGACAAGCCAUUUCAUCGCCCAUGCUGGAAUUUCGAGUCGGUGGAUGACGAGUCGGUGGUGCAACGAGAGCAUCAUCGGCAGGCUUGACGGUGCCUCUAAUGGCUCGCUAAUGUUGCCCGCGAAGAUAAUCGAGCGUGAGAUCGUUCAGCCGAUUUUCUUCCGCGCGGAUUUUAAGGAUAACGUGGACCGAUUUUCCGCCUCGACUCGAAAGUACACCGUGCAUUUUGCGAGAUGCGGAUGGCGUUGCAUUUUCAAGAUGACGGGGAAUAUAAAAUGAGGCAAGAUGAAGUGUCAAUCUUUUAUAUCGCAUGUGAACUGUGUAUAUGAAGUUCUAUACUUCUGGUGUCUUUUAAAGAUUUUAUCAAUAUAAUCCAAAUUGCAAUUUAGUGAAUAAGUUAAUAUGUUUCAGAUUAUUAAAGAUUAGGUAUUUUAUUUUAAAACUAAAAAAUGCUAGUUUAUUAAAUAUUAAGUUAAAUAUAACUUUAGCUGAAAUAUUCUUAUAUAUACAUAAGUUUGUGUGAGAUGAUUAAUAAUCCACUUUCUAGUAAUUCAAUUUUGUAAACCUCAGUAAUUUAAAAUACAAAUAAUAUAUUAAUUUUGGACUAUUAAUAUUGUAUUUAAAAUCUCGUCUUGCCAGAUUGAUCUAAAAACGAAGGUGAUGUAUCGACGCUGUUGCAACAUAAUGGUCUUAACGGGAGAGGUUGGGUUGAUGGUUCGGUUGCCCUCAAAUCAUCGCGGGUGUGAGGCAAAUGACGUUCGGCCACGCGAAAGUAACGCGAUAAUGACUGCCAUGAAAAGCCCCUUCCAUGAUAUCUGUUGCUUUGAUGUGUCCUCUUGAUGCCUUCGCACCUCUCACCCUUCAUUGAUUUUCAUUCUUUUCAUCUAUACUUUAAAUUCUCAUCCGUGGUUUAUCGAAUUGAUUUCGUUCAAAUCAGUUAAUUAACAUUAGAAAAAUCGAUGACUCUUGUUGUAAAGAAACAUAAGCGUACAUCAUAAAAACAUUAAAUCCAUAAAAUUUGAAGAAGUAUCAAGUAUGUUUAACUGACUAGAGUAUACGUAACAAAUUAUAAAGCUUUGAGAAUCAUGUAGCCAUUAACGAAAAGUGUCGAACAAAAGUGUAAGUGAUUUUCUCUUUUAGUGUAUUAGAAGCUACUUGUCGUGGGAAAGAAUGUCAGAAUACGUAAUUAUAGGUCGCUGAAUCACGUGUCCAUUAUUGUUAACGUAGAAAGGACUGAUCUAACACGAUGCGGACAAAGAUACUGAGCAAUUCUGUGAACACACGAGUUAGUAAUCUGCCAUUCAGAAAAGUUAGCCGGGCAUCUCAGGUUAAUUCGCUACUUGCAUUCCGCUCAAUGACCACACGUGAGCGUUUCAGACGCCGUAAUGAAUGGGCACAGAUGCGGAUGAGGGUUGCUUUUGCUCGGAGUCGUACGUACUUCCAAAUGUCGCAGUGCGAGGUCAACAAAAGGUAUAAUCUUAUGCGAUAUUUAAUUUCUAAUGACAAUCUGUUAAAAAUAUACCUACUUUAAACAUCUACAGCUCUUAUUACUUAUGAUAUAACCUCUAUGUUAAUUAUGGAAAAUAUCUGGUGAUAAAUAUUUCAUAAAAUUUCGUAUGUAAUUUAAUUCCAGAAACUUUUCGUCAUAGUCUGUUUUCCUCAUGCUUAAAAUCAAGACUUAAAGUAUCUCUUCAUAAAGAACUGUAGAGCCAUACUGAUAAUAAUUCGUUGCAAGCUUCAGUUCUCGACUCUUUAAUCAAUGUCUACCGCCCGUGGGCUGCAAAAACACAAGUCGUACUCGAUCUCUUUUCUUCCCGAACAACAAAAAUCGAUAAACACAAUCUUUACAUCGAUCGCAGUUCCUCUCUGAAAGUAUUCGUGGCUCGACAAUCGAAGCCCGCGAUUAUGGUCGAUUCCUAUCAAAGAUUGCCCAAAAAAGGGGAAUUACUUAGUCUCCACCACCCUCGGUGGUGCAGGUCGCUGCCGUCCGUCGAGGGACAGACGCGUCCGUAGUCGCAGUUUGUCGGCCAAUGGGACCAGACAGAAACGCAAUCGCAAUGCAGGCCAAUCCCUCUGCUCCGUUCGUCCACCCGCUCUCGCUCGCCCUCCCGUGCCCGGUAAUGACAAUCAUUACCGGGGAAUGAUUGCAGCGUCGGGUCCGCCAGCGCGCCAGCCGUGCUAUUGGGGGAUGGAAACCACCUUAUAGAGUCUCUUCUCGGUCCUCGAUGCGAGCGGAUUGUCACAUGCUCCCGCUUGCACGGCAUAGAGCGCGUUUCCUCUUCUCCGUCCGCGCUUCCUGCGAGUUCGAUUUUGCGGUGGAGAACUUUCUUCGUGGUGUAAGUGACCGAGACAUGGCGGUCAGUCAGUCGAGGCGAACAAAAAAAGAUAGCGGUCAGAAGAAAGUUACCGAGGCCAUAUCGAGGCCGCACUUCCGGAACACCCGCGUCGCAUUAUCGCGAUACCUCUCCCCGAAAGUGAACCGCGACAUUUGCCUCUCUUUUGCAGUUUGUUCAUUUAUCCUUCGUAGUGUGAGUGUAUUGUGUGAUGGAAAAUGGCGGCCGCUCACGCGUAUUACUGGGUGUAGGAAUUUAGCGCGUAGUGGCUAACUGGUUUGCUUGAAAACUUUGUGAUUCAUUCUUUUGAUCAACAAGUGAUCAAAUUAAUAUUCGGCUCGAACUGAAAAGACUCGAACAACAACCGGUAUACGUCUUGCUCAAAUAUGAAUAUCAGUAAUAGUUAAUACCAGUAUUCGCGCAUGAGUGAGCGAGUAUACCAGUUGCGUUUCUGAUGACAACUUAUUCGUAGAUCGCGAUAAUGUAUCGUCUAUUCUAUGCGUGACGUUGUAUAACAUUGCCAUGGCUUUAUUUAGAGUGGCCCUCGACAAGUUCCAGUGAAAAGCCCUCUCCGUGCAUGUUAUACGUGACGAAGACGUGGUGGUCUGCAUGGCACACAUGUCGCUCUAGAUGCACGAAUGUUCAGCAUUGUUGGCGUUGGAACAGGCAAAUCGUCGAUCACUGCAUUCAGGUUUGUUGAUCCUUGAACCUCCUUCGAUCUAUCGUAUCUAUCGAUCAACGGGCGUCCAUUGCAGCAGCCACGUUUAAUAACAGAUCAUGCAAGCGCAAGAAAUGGCGGCGAAUUCGUACGGCUUCAAAAUCAAAGGUACCGUGAAAGGGAAUCGAAGAGAGAUUGAACAAUCACAUCUUACGAUGAAGAGAACGCGCAUCGCUGGUGAUUACGCAAACGCACAACGAUCGACAAAUAUCUUUCAUCAAGGGAUUUCUUGUGUAUCGCAAAUUGGACGGAAAGAAUUAUCCAUUGCCAGCUGUCACAGAUACUGGCAUGGCGCCGAGUCUCGCAAAACUUGGAAACCCAACUAAGUUGCAGCGUUUACGACUCGAGAGUCGGACAAUAAUUGUCGCUUGAGAACCGAUCGUUUGCGGAUACCUGCGAAUUUUGCCGUCUGCGAAGGACAUCUCUGAGUUCAGAAACAACUCCAAGAAACCAUUUCGCAAGAACCACGUGAAAUUCUUUGGAAGGUGCAGUGCGGGGAAUGAGAAAAGGAAUGAACGAAAACCUUGAACCAAUCGUAAAUGGCGCGAAGUGAAAGCGAUCGGUCACCACAGUUUUCCCAGAAGAGCGCGAGUCACGAAAUUAUCGGCUUGUAAAUCGAACCGAAGGAUCUCGUUCCUUUUGCGGCAAAUAAGCGGCUGUUCGGUAAUCCAGUAGCGAAUCGAGCUCACGAAACGUCGAAAGUGAAGAACGCAAUCCCACCAAUUAUCAAAGCAUUCGACUAGACAAAUAUCCACGCUAUAAAUAUUGUUUGCAUCAUUUCAUUUUAACUCUUUUAUCUUCUUCAAAUAACAUUUUGAUGUCUUAUACGCAUAUAAUGAAAAUAAAUUUGCUGCUUUUUUUAAUUUUCUCUAUUUGAUUAUAAUCCCGUUCUUUUUAAAUAGAUAGGAAUGCUAAAUGAGUUCAAAGUAAGUAAAAGUUCUUGGCAAUAUUGUAUAUAAUAUAAUUCUGUUUCAUUAUAAAUUAUCUAGAUGAAAGGGAGUGGACCAUAUCCACAUGAGACACUUUGAAAAGAGAUUGUAGACAACGUGUCACCUUCUUCUAAGAGAGAGAGAUGAGAUACCACGGCGACACUUCGCGGACAAUACUCCGUGACUCGCACGAUUAUACGCGAACACCACUUAAUCACCGUAAUAGGGCGGACAUAAUGGCUGAUACGAUCUGUAUUUGCUCGUUAGAUUCGAGCUAUGCUCUUCCACGCAUGCAAAAGAGCGCUUUCCGUUUUGCCUACGCCUGCACAAAUGGCAAUUACACUGGAUAGUAAUCUUGUAUAUAAAUUUUUGUGUAAUGAUAUAUCGUAACAAUAAUAUGACAAUAAUAAUGUGUGACAUGAAUUAAACGUUAUGAUUAAUAUAAAUAUGUAUUCUUCAAAUUUUAUUUACGAUGUUUUAUUUUUCUAUUUACUCUGUCGAUAGAUACACACUUUAGAAAUUAAUACACUAAUCAUUUUUCCCCUUAUUUCAUAAAUAUAAAAUUUUUGAUAUUUUAGAAAUACAUAUUUCAUAAGAAAGAAAGAGUGAAGAAAGAAUAGAGGUAAAGUCAAGGUAAUAAGUAAUAUCUCUCCCUAUUUCCCUCUGCUCAAGAUCGGCAGAAUAAAGCACGAUACGUUACAUCACAUCAAUUGCAAAAUGACUGCGUAAAGCCGAAGGCGUAAGUGGUGUGUAGGAUUCGAUUUCGAGGCGUCUGAAUUCCGCGGACACGUUGCCUAAUUGAGUCAUCGUGCCAUUAAUCGCGUAAUAAUCGGGCAUCGCAAGUAACUCAGCUGGCACCGAUGGUAGUGGAUUAAAGUUGUGGGACAGACAACUCAGGCCCGAAGAUCGUAGAUCGAUGUCCAAUUAGGCCCAAUUACAUAUUAUGGGUAAUCGACCACGGUCGGUAAAAGAAGCUUUAUUCCUCGAAGCAAAGCAGUACAUCUAUGGCGACAGGUUUUGCAAGAUCGCUUGCAUCGACAAAGACGAAGAGGGGACAAUUCUUCGAUGAAAGGUGAUGUAUUAUAAAUUUAUAAAAUACUUUUAAAAUUUAUAAUACGAUCAUGUUUCGUUAAUGUAUCAAGUAAGUGAGUAAAUGGAUAACAUGGGCGUUCAAAUUGGAGUAAUUUAUCAAAUUAUACAGAAAAUGAACUCCCUUCCGGAAGAUUUAUAUAUGAAUAUAGAUAUUAAAAUAUUUAUAAAUAAUUAUAAAAAUCAAUUUCCACUUUGGUAGAUAUAAUAAACAUUGAAGAAUAAAAAAUACGUCAUUGCGAAAUUAAAUAAUUCCUCUCAAUAAACUAUUGCACGUGGUAUGCACAUAUGUUUCUAUCUAUCACGUCUAUUAAAUAUUGCACAUUCUUUCUCUUGUUCAAAACUAUUUCCCAUUUUCGAUUGCGCACUUAGCUGAUAUUCGGGAACGAGUCGUACGACUUUACGACAACUUGCUGUAUACUGUAAUCUGUGUGGUUUAACGAAGUUCCCUCUCGCUGGAAUUCGAGCGAUCGCGAGACUUUGCGGAGCGGCGGAGCACGAGCGGCGGAACAUCGCGUGCUUCCGAAAUAUUCCGGGAAUAUGCUAAUUGUCAGUCAGUUUCUUGUGGCACUGCGACUGUUUCUACAAUCGGCGAUGGCCUCUUUAGCCGCAGCCUGCUCUCCUUCCUUUACUCUCGUCUCGUAGCUUCCCGCGAUAUUGCCGUUCUUUGUUCGCUGCAAUCACCGCCGGUUGCGCUUCGUUAAACAUGCGAUGGAUCGCUCCUCCGCCGUUACCUUUGACUUUUGUUCUCCGGUGACAUUGUUUAUCGAGUGACUAGCCGCAUUCGUGUCUUCCUUACUAGCCAAAUGCUCGUAAACAAGUGACAGUGUUUGAUUAUUUUAAUGUAAAGACUGCACUACAUUAAGAGAAGCUUACAUGACAUUGUAAUCAUUUCACUGUUUAAGAUAAUCUUAUUUCAAUAUUAAUUUCAAAAAUCUCUGUUCAGCAUAUAGUAAUCUAAAUAUUUAGAUAAUCUAAUAAAUUCCUCAAAGACUUAUGUAAACUUAUUAAUAUAAGAUGAAUAGAACAAUUUUGUUUGAUAUUGAUUUGUGACUUUUUUCGAAAAAAUUUAUAAAAGAUCCUGAAAAUAUUUAAUUAAGAAAUAUUCCGAUUUUGAUUCACUCGCUGCAUCUAUGUUAGAUCUAUCAACAUGAUUCUCCAUCCAGCCCAUUGUAUUCUCACGAAUCACGCAAACUCCGCGAAUUCUGGUGCUACCGAUGGAAGGAUUGAAUAAAUUUGAAAUUCUCUGGAAAAAUGGAUCCUGGCCACGCGUAAGCGAAGGCCGCGAGCGGGAUAUCGCGUGUAAACGCGAACGUAUUCAAUUAAUGCAGAGCGGAUGUUGUAGAGCGAGCGAUACGGCGCAGGGGACGCUCCUCAUUCUCAAAACGGGAGAGCGGCCAUGUACGCCGUGGAGUUAAUUAAUGGGAAUGAAAGGAGAGUGUGCGCCGCCAUGGCACAUACGACCGCGAAGUGAGAUACGUUGGUAAGGUGUCGAGGAUCCUUUGAGUUAUAGCAGACGAUCAUAGCAUCUAGGACGACGGUGCAGAUCGUGGAAUACGCCGCUUCACGCUCUACAAGCAGUAUAUAGAAAUAUCCGGAAACCAGGGCAGCUCUAUUAUCACCCAGAAGUUAUACGAGCUAACUGAAGUUUCAUCGCCGCCGAGUUCCAGGUACAGCAAUAUGUUGUUUUAUGGUGCAAUCAUCGGUGCGGUAAUAAUCAUUAAAUCCUUUGAGCGAAGCUGAACGGAGCUGCGGACCUCGGCGAGGUCCGUGUUCCUUCGAAGUAUCUCGUCAUUAGUGUGACAUUAUCCAUCGAAUUUGUUUUGUGGCUAUUUAUUCAUUUUUCGUAACAAGUUCGUUGACCUCGCAUCAAGAGGGAUGUCAAUGAAUGCAAUUCAUUUCUUAUCGAUAUAAAUCGAAAAUUGAACAUUGCGAGAAAAGUGCAAAAUUA
Molecule: long non-coding RNA, 7503 nt
Filed under: Ooceraea biroi (clonal raider ant)
Lineage: Eukaryota; Metazoa; Arthropoda; Insecta; Hymenoptera; Formicidae
Description: uncharacterized LOC105282097
Source: RNAcentral